Molecule: ribosomal RNA, 292 nt
Filed under: uncultured bacterium
Lineage: Bacteria
Also listed under: 1 other name
Description: partial 16S ribosomal RNA
Source: RNAcentral
GGACUACUCGGGUUUCUAAUCCCGUUCGCUCCCCUGGCUUUCGCGCCUCAGCGUCAGAAAAGGUCCAGCACGUCGCUUUCGCCACCGGCGUUCCUUCCGAUAUCUACGCAUUUCACCGCUCCACCGGAAGUUCCACAUGCCCCUACCUCCCUCGAGGUGAUCAGUAUCAAAGGCACUUUUCCGGUUGAGCCGAAAGAUUUCACCCCUGACUUGAUCACCCGCCUACGCGCCCUUUAAGCCCAGUGAAUCCGAACAACGUUCGCACGGUUCGUCUUACCGCGGCGGCUGGCAC